AUGUGGGGAUGUGAGGUCAUAGGACUCUCAGGAAAAAAGAAAUCCAGUCCAAACCCAUCCCACAUUCUGCCAAGGUCUUCUCCUCCAAAUCACGAGAUCUGUCGUCCGUGCAGCAUGCUUUCCUCUUUCUUGGCUGGCUCCACUAUGGAACCAGUCCUCAUUAUAAUAAAAAUACUGUCUGUUUUUCUGCCUGUCCAAAGCUUCCUGCCUGAGAGCUUCACUGGACAAGUCAACACCAAGUGUUGCUUCUGCAAUUAUGGCCUAAGUCAUGAUAUGCUCUGCAGCAUGUCUACCUCCUUACACAGGUGCUUGCAGGUGGUCUGCUGCUUGUGCCAGUUAAUACGGGAAGACAUCUAGUAACUCCUAUACCUCUACUGAAUUUAGGAUAGUAUAUGCAGGGCUGCCAUCCUUAAUAUGUCCAAACAUACUGACUUGAGGGCAACUGUCAAAAGAUAGCACAGAUAUAACCUUUUAGUCUUCCCUCCACCCAUCUCCUGAAACUUGCCAGAAGUGCAGUUUUUAAAACUCAGCAUUAGGCUGUCAUUUCUUUGUCUUCCUUUCUGGAGGAUUUCCAUAUUCAAACCACCAUCUCCAGUAGAGCUGUUGGAGAAAACUGACUUCAUGAAGGAUGUAUCUAUCUCAUUGUUAUCAAUCAGGCCCACUCAAGUUUUUUCGUCGCUGUAGGCAAAAUCAAACAUAGAGGCGGCAGAGCAACUGGCCUGUGCUCCAUACCCCACCCAGUCACCUCUCUGUUAGUCCACUGGCCACACAACCUCUCCUUUCAGCUGCAAGGAGUGCACAUGGGGACUGUGCAGAGCAGGGCUGAGCCGGCACAUAGCAGGGCUGCCAGCACUCAUUAAUAUGGAUUUUACGUGAGAUGCUCACUGAAAACCUUGUCUACAAGAACUGCCCUGCUGAUGGUAACAGCAGGUUACAAGCAGCCCAGUUUUGGAGCUGCAUUGUGACUGAAGAAGUAAAGAAUUCCUCUCAGCCUUAUUUAAAGACAAGAUUUGUCCACUUCUCUCUGUCUCUCUGCAGGCACCAACCCUAGUGUGACCAUGCUGAUAUCCAGAUAGCUUCAUGGUCCUCCCAUCCGCAUGAGAGAGACCGAAGCCCAGUGAUCCUGUGCUGUCUACGUUGGACACAGAAGCUUGACAGCAUCUGUCUGACUAGAUACACAUGUAAAUGUUCCCUUGUACAUGUAUGGUAGUUCCCCAAAGUGCAGCAGUAUUUCUUACAGAGAAUAAAAUGUAUAAUCCAGAGCUAAGAACA
This 1272-nucleotide long non-coding RNA is filed under the name Anser cygnoides (Swan goose). Its description in RNAcentral is "lncRNA (ENSACDG00005007053.1)". Lineage: Eukaryota; Metazoa; Chordata; Aves; Anseriformes; Anatidae. The record is from RNAcentral.